CGGGGUGAGUAAUGUAUGGGGAUCUGCCUGAUGGCGGGGGAUAACUACUGGAAACGGUAGCUAAUACCGCAUAAUGUCUACGGACCAAAGCGGGGGACCUCCGGGCCUCGCGCCAUCAGAUGAACCCAUAUGGGAUUAGCUAGUAGGUGGGGUAAUGGCUCACCUAGGCGACGAUCCCUAGCUGGUCUGAGAGGAUGACCAGCCACACUGGAACUGAGACACGGUCCAG
This 229-nucleotide ribosomal RNA is filed under the name uncultured bacterium. Its description in RNAcentral is "partial 16S ribosomal RNA". It matches the Rfam family "Bacterial small subunit ribosomal RNA", at positions 104 to 334 of the family's 1533-position model. The record is from RNAcentral.